This 407-nucleotide ribosomal RNA is filed under the name uncultured bacterium. Its description in RNAcentral is "bacterial SSU rRNA". It matches the Rfam family "Bacterial small subunit ribosomal RNA", at positions 8 to 443 of the family's 1533-position model. The record is from RNAcentral.
AGAGUUUGAUCCUGGCUCAGAAUGAACGCUGGCGGCAGGCCUAACACAUGCAAGUCGAGCGAAGUCUUCGGACUUAGCGGCGGACGGGUGAGUAACGCGUGGGAACAUGCCCAAAGGUACGGAAUAGCCCCGGGAAACUGGGAGUAAUACCGUAUGUGCCCUUCGGGGGAAAGAUUUAUCGCCUUUGGAUUGGCCCGCGUUGGAUUAGGUAGUUGGUGGGGUAAUGGCCUACCAAGCCGACGAUCCAUAGCUGGUUUGAGAGGAUGAUCAGCCACACUGGGACUGAGACACGGCCCAGACUCCUACGGGAGGCAGCAGUGGGGAAUAUUGGACAAUGGGCGCAAGCCUGAUCCAGCAAUGCCGCGUGUGUGAAGAAGGCCUGCGGGUUGUAAAGCACUUUCAGUGGG